RNAcentral lists this long non-coding RNA (1798 nucleotides) under Monodelphis domestica (gray short-tailed opossum). RNAcentral describes it as "lncRNA (ENSMODG00000042517.1)". The record is from RNAcentral. Lineage: Eukaryota; Metazoa; Chordata; Mammalia; Didelphimorphia; Didelphidae.
CACCUGUUAACAUUAUCUAUGCUCUAUUAUAUUUUUAUUUAGGCUGUUCAUUAUUUCCCAAAUAGAUUUUAACCUGUUUAAGCACUCAAGAAUAUAAGGGCAACAAUAAAAUCCGAAGGCAUAGUAUUUGACUCUGUUCCAGACCUCCCAGAGAAUGGUGACAUUAUUAGGUAGCAACAAAGAAGAAGAUUUCUGAUGGGGAAAGGGAGAUCUUUAAGACCAAACUUAGAGGGAGCCCAAAACUCUUGGUCACAAGUUAAUUUAAUACAAAAUGACUUCUAGUAGUAAGAAAUGUACCAAAGUGCUAGUUGUUUUUUGCAAUGGUAACAAAAAGAAAUUGUAUUUAUUUUUUUGGUCUUUCAUUUCAGGAGGCUUUCGGAGUGGUCUGAGAACCCAGCAAGUGCCAGUUUUGCUAAGCUUGGCUGUCUGGUCCUCUAGGAAGAAAAGAAAAGAAAGGAAAAAGGUCUUACUUGUAGCUCCAAGAAGCGGGAGCAGCAGCCCCUGGUAAAGACAAACAAACACGCAUCUCAGCAGUCAGGAUGACAAUCUAUAGGCAAGGUAGAGGAUGUCUCCUGCACGCACGGGAAGGCUUCUCCCAGCAGAAUGUGUGAAGGAGAACAACUUGUUUCAGUGGCCACAAAGGCAGCAAAAACAGAGCUUGGUCAAACAUUGAAGACACCAAAGUCAUCACUCCAGUCAUUCUGACUUGGGUCUCGCCGCUGGAUCUGCUCUCUUCCAGCUGGCAAGAAGAGAGGCUGCUGAGUUCGUGCCCUUCCAUUUCCCUUAAAUCCAGUUCAGGUGCAAGUCAAGACACCACCUUGGGACGUCAUCGAUCCUCUUAAAGAGUGAAGGAGGAGCCAAGACGUGCCAGGCACUGUGCUGUGCUGCAGAGGAAGGACCAAGAUGGUGCCUGCGCCCAGAGAGCUUACAGGCUAAGAGAGGCAUCAAAAGGGGCUAGCUGAGAGGAGAGGAGGGGCUUACAUGGAUCCGGGAAUGAGUGUGGAAAGGAAACAAAGGCAAGACUAUUGUAAACAAGGUCUUUUAAUACUUGGAUAUAUCUGUGCUGCCACUGACGAUAGCUUACCGACUGCUGGAAAAGACCUGACUGGCGCACGAACACACACUCUAUAUGGGCUCAGCCAUAGCCUCUCAACAGGCUGGUUCCUUUAUCUAGAUCUCUUACCAUCAUGUAGAUACUAAUAGAACACACGGGCUAUUUUUCAGUUAUUGCUCACCUUUACUCUAAGACUGACACACUUUCCUCCCUAAUCUAUUGAUAUUAUGUCACUUUUGCAUAAUUCUUCAUCAUUUAUAUCUCACAACCUAAACUAAAACCGCUGUUGCCUUGGCUUCCAAAUCUCUUGGCUUAAUAGGAAGAACAAGUGUUUUUGGCUGAAGGAAAUUUCUAGACACAUGGUCUCUUCUAUAGGAAAUAGAUUUUAUAUCAAUUAAACCUUUUUAGGUCAUGAUAAAGAGUAUCUGUCCCUUUUAUAUUCAUUGACCUUUUUUUGCAUCAACAUCUUAUUUAGCUGGCUGGGGUUGGUGUUUCUUCAUUUGCAAGGCACAUAUUAUUUUUAUUUAUUUUGUAUUGUUUUUAAGCUUUUCUCUAAAAAGCCAAUUGUCUGACUAUCCAGACAAAUGAUUUAGAAAUAACUUCCAUGUUAGUAGAUACUAAUUUCUUGUCUCUAAGAAUAUGGUCAUUUCCUUUUAUUUUGGUGUUAUUUGGAGUUCAUCAAAACGAGGGCCUCUGAUUCUCCUCUAGAAUAAAGUAUUUUUGAAUCUAUAGGCCUGAGGAUUA